AACGAACGCUGGCGGCGCGCCUAAUACAUGCAAGUCGAGCGAGAAGACGUAGCAAUACGUUUGUAAAGCGGCGAACGGGUGAGGAAUACAUGGGUAACCUACCCUAGAGUGGGGAAUAACUAGCCGAAAGGUUAGCUAAUACCGCGUACGCUCCUUGGACUUCGGUUCAGGGAGGAAAGCGAUACCGUGGGUAUCGCGCUCUUGGAUGGGCUCAUGUCCUAUCAGCUUGNGGUGAGGUAACGGCUCACCAAGGCUUCGACGGGUAGCUGGUCUGAGAGGACGAUCAGCCACACUGGCACUGCGACACGGGCCAGACUCCUACGGGAGGCAGCAGUAAGGAAUAUUGCGCAAUGGGACGAAAGCCUGACGCAGCGACGCCGCGGUGGGGGA
RNAcentral lists this ribosomal RNA (390 nucleotides) under uncultured bacterium. Its description in RNAcentral is "bacterial SSU rRNA". It matches the Rfam family "Bacterial small subunit ribosomal RNA", at positions 29 to 408 of the family's 1533-position model. The record is from RNAcentral.